Molecule: ribosomal RNA, 260 nt
Filed under: uncultured bacterium
Lineage: Bacteria
Description: partial 16S ribosomal RNA
Rfam family: Bacterial small subunit ribosomal RNA
Source: RNAcentral
GUCCACGCUGUAACGAUGGGUACUAGACUAAGUGGGAAUUGACCCCUGCUGAGUCGGAGCUAACGCAAUAAGUACCCCGCCUGGGAAGUACGGUCGCAAGACUAAACUCAAGGAAUUGACGGGGCCCGCACAAGCGGUGGAUCAUGUGGUUUAAUUCGAAGCAACGCGAAACCUUAACCUGGGUUUGACAUCCUUGGACCGCUGUAGAAAUACAGUUUUGUAGCAAUACAACCAAGAGACAGGUGCUGCAUGGCUGUCGU